This 3190-nucleotide long non-coding RNA is filed under the name Sus scrofa (pig). RNAcentral's name for it is "lncRNA (ENSSSCG00005002536.1)". The record is from RNAcentral. Lineage: Eukaryota; Metazoa; Chordata; Mammalia; Artiodactyla; Suidae.
UGAUCCACACCAGUCUGGCCCAUCAGGGUAGCAUGUACCAAAGCUAUUGAGAGUGCCGAAGUGAAUAAAAUGCUAAUCCUCAUCAAUAGAUUAAACUGAGAAAUGCUUAAACCAGAGAUCUGCCUGCAAUAAAAGCAAUUGAGUCGUUUCUUUGUAAUUUGACUGCUCACAUGAGCCCAGGAACCUGUCUUAUAGCUUUACAAAUCUGUGAUAAUUUCCUUCAACUUUUCCAUUUUAUUGCCGCCAUUAAAAUCCCGUUGUGUUCUUAAAACAGAAAAAAAAAAAAAAUGAUUAAAACAGAUGUGGCUCUUAAAGUUACAAUAUGAAUUUUACAACCCCGGGUUUUAUGAUACUGAGAGAAAUUUCAGCCACCAGGGUCAAAGGCAAGAAAAAUGGGACCGGAUUUCUGAAAUGGGUCUGGGGAGGGGGACAGAGUGGGGGCGCGGGGUUCAGAAUGACAAAGGCAGCCAAAGGAGCUAAUUUCCUGACGUUUACUUCUCGCUCCAAACCCUGGGGACCCACUGCAGAAAGUCACGUUUGCAACUCUCUCUCUGCUCAGUCUCCGCAGCUACUGAGGUUGGACUAAACCACUUUCCCUCGCUCCGGCCUCCCUGCCAACCCCUUCUCCCCAAGUCAAGCUUUCCACUUAAAUAGUCUGCAAAUGGUUGGUCCUUGUUCUGUUUAUUGAGGCAGCGUGUUGUCCUAAAAGGGGCAUUGAGAUCCACGCUGCGGUAUCCCAUCGUCAACGGUGUGACUUGGGCAAAUCACUGAAAACUCCGUACCUCAGUUUCUUUGUCCACGAAACCCAGGACCUGUACCAGAUCCACAGUGUCUCUCAUUAGCUCUGCGGGUCCCUGACCUCAUCUGCAGAAACUCGGUGCCUGGCACAAAGCAAAACAAACAAAAAACAAACAAACAAAAACCAUUCAGAAUGGUUGUUGCCUGAAGAAUUAAUACAUUCCUAAAUUCUUCUCUAUCUCCCCUUUUAGAAAAAUGAAGGGAUUGACUUCUACUAACAUACAAUCAAAAACAGAAUAAAUAGGAGUUCCCGUCGUGGCUCAGUGGUUAACAAAUCUAACUAGGAACCAUGAGGUUUCGGGUUCGAUCCCUGGCCUCGAUCAGUGGGUUAAGGAUCUGGCAUUGCCAUGAGCUGUUGUGUAGGUUGCAGACGUGGCUCAGAUCCGGAGUGGCUGUGGCUCUGGCGUAGGCUGGCGCCUGCAUCUCCGAUUACACCCCUAGCUUGGGAACCUCCAUAUGCCACGGGUGCGGCCCUAGAAAAGGCAAAAAGACCAAAAAAAAAAAAGGUAGAAAAAAAUAAAUAAAUUCAAAAAUAGUAAAAGCUCCCAUAGCAUCUUUUUUUUAAUCAUCUGUAAUCAGUCAUGUAAAAUGUGAGGAAAAAAAACCACUAAUCAACUCUCUAUGUAAACUGAAUCGCUGUACUGAAUACCUGAAACAUUGCAAAUCUACUAAAAUAAUUUUUUAUAAAAACUUACGUGCUACGUCAUUCCAAAUUUAUGGCUAAAAACAUAGAAAAUAGGAGUUCCCAUUGUGGCUCAGCAUUUAACAAACCCAACUAGUAUCCUUGAGGAUGUGGGUUCGAUUCCUGGCCUUGUUCAGUGGGUUAAGGAUCGGGCAUUGUGUGAGCUGUUGUGAAGGUGGAAGACGCAGCUCAGAUCCCAUGUUGCUGUGGCUGUGGUGUAGGCCGGCAGCUACAGUUCCGAUUUGAUCCCUAGUCUGGGAAUCUCUAUGUGCCAUGGGUGCAGCCCUAAAAACAAAGACAAAAAGAAGAAAGAAAGAAAAUAACUGAAAGAAAAACACCGAAAUGUUAAACAGAAGUAUCUCUGAUUGAGAAGAGUACAUAUUUCUAUUUUCUUCUUUACAUAAUUGAAUGCUGGUUUCACUCCAUCUCUUCUUCAGGUCUCUGCUCAAACAUGCCUGCAUCCUCAAGAGCUUCCCUGACCAGCUUAUGUAAAGCAGCAGACAUCUGCCCCAAAUAUCUCGUCGCUCUUUCUCCCUUAUCUUGUCUUAUUUUCCUCCCUUGCUGGAUAUUUUCACGUAUGUUCAACUCCGUAGUCACUUUCUAUGCCCCACAUCUUGAUGUCAGGUCCGUGAGGGCUCUCUUCCCAGCACCUAAACUAUGCCUGGUAUAUAACAGGCCCAAACAACAUGCAUGGUGAUUUGAAUGGGUGAAUGACAUAUGCAAAUAUGUGUAUACAAGAAUAAUCUAUUGCCGUGUUGUUUAUAAUAGCGAAAUUUCAGUUAGAUAUAACACAGUAUAUUUUCAUGUAUAUUUGUCAUUCUGUAAAUACCCUUGUCUAUUUUAUUACCAAAAUAUUUUAUUUUUUACUUGUCAAUUUUUAGGAGCUCUUUGUAGAUUAGGAAUAUUAUAUCUUUGCUUGUGGUUUUCGUUGUGAAUCUCUCUCCUGCUAUCUUGAGUAUGCAGAAGUAUUCUUUCAAGUAUUCUUCUUUUUUUUUCCUUUUUUGCCCACCCCGAGGCAUACAGAGCUCCUGGACAUAUGCUGCAGCUAAGGUGACAGCAUUCUUUUCCUGGGCCAGGGGUCUAAUCAGAGCCACAGCUGCCGGCCUUCGCCACAGCUGUCGGCCUACGCCACAGCCGCAGCAACGGCAGAUCCAAGCCAUGUCUGCAACCUACACCACAGCUCAUGGAAACACCAGAUCCUUAACCCACUGAGUGAGGCCAGGGAUCGAAACCGCAACUUUGUGGUUCCUAGUCGUUUUCGCUUCCUCUGUGCCACGAGGGGAACUCCCAGAAGAUUCUUAAAUUAACCCACUGUCGGGGGCAGGGGAGAGGGGGUGGUUGUGGAAGGAGAGGAUUGAACCUGUGUCCAGGCUCCAGAGAUGCCGCCAAUCCCGUUGCACCACAGGGGGAACUCUUCGAGUAUUAUUCAAACGUUAUUGUUAUAUUCCUACAUUUGGAUAUUGGAUCCACCUAGAAUUGAUUCGUAUGAGAUAGAAUCUAACCUACCUUCUUAUAAAUGGGCAGCCUCUUAUGGCAGUACCAUUUUAAAAUAAAACAUGCUGUUUCUACUGAAUUGAAAUGCCACCUAUAAUAUAUAUACAUAUAUUUUUUUCCAUAUAUACUUAGAUUAAUUUCUGGAAUUUCUACAAGGUCCUACAAAUCUAUUUCUUAUUCUUAUUUUUUUUUUUUACACUAGAUUUCUAGUAAUAG